This 119-nucleotide ribosomal RNA is filed under the name Glycine max (soybean). The record is from RNAcentral. Lineage: Eukaryota; Viridiplantae; Streptophyta; Magnoliopsida; Fabales; Fabaceae. RNAcentral also lists the same sequence under 1 other name.
AUGGGCGAUCAUACCAGCACUAAUGCACCGGAUCCCAUCAGAACUCCGCAGUUAAGCGUGCUUGGGCGAGAGUAGUACUAGGAUGGGUGACCUCCUGGGAAGUCCUCGUGUUGCACCUC